RNAcentral lists this ribosomal RNA (536 nucleotides) under uncultured bacterium. Its description in RNAcentral is "bacterial SSU rRNA". It matches the Rfam family "Bacterial small subunit ribosomal RNA", at positions 959 to 1503 of the family's 1533-position model. The record is from RNAcentral.
ACGCGAGGAACCUUACCCGGGCUCAAACGCAUAAUGACGACAGUUGAAAGAUUGUUUCCCCUCGGGGCAUUAUGCGAGGUGCUGCAUGGUUGUCGUCAGCUCGUGCCGUGAGGUGUCGGCUUAAGUGCCAUAACGAGCGCAACCCCUAUCGACAGUUGCUAACGAGUAAAGUCGAGGACUCUGUCGAGACUGCCGGCGCAAGCUGUGAGGAAGGCGGGGAUGACGUCAAAUCAGCACGGCCCUUACGUCCGGGGCGACACACGUGUUACAAUGGCAGGGACAGCGGGAAGCCACCAAGCGAUUGGGCGCGGAACCCGAAACCCUGUCUCAGUUCGGAUUGGAGUCUGCAACUCGACUCCAUGAAGCUGGAUUCGCUAGUAAUCGCGCAUCAGCCAUGGCGCGGUGAAUACGUUCCCGGGCCUUGUACACACCGCCCGUCAAGCCAUGGGAGUCGGGAGUGCCUGAAGUUCGUGACCGUAUAGGAGCGACCUAGGGCAAGACUGAUGACUGGGGCUAAGUCGUAACAAGGUAACCGU